Molecule: ribosomal RNA, 1244 nt
Filed under: metagenome
Description: bacterial LSU rRNA
Rfam family: Bacterial large subunit ribosomal RNA
Source: RNAcentral
CGAAUACGAGACGCUACGGCGUCGAAGUAGUGUAUGUCAUACUUCCAAGAAAAGCUUGCACUGUCAUAAUAAAAAAUGCCUGUACCAUAACCGACACAGGUGGGUAGGUAGAGUAUACUAAGGGGCGCGAGAUAACUCUCUCUAAGGAACUCGGCAAAAUAACUCCGUAACUUCGGGAGAAGGAGUGCCUUAUUUAAAUAAGGUUGCAAUAACAAGAUCCAAGCAACUGUUUACCAAAAACACAGGUCUCCGCUAAGUCGUAAGACGAUGCAUGGGGGCUGACGCCUGCCCAGUGCCUGUAGGUUAAAGAAGUUGGUUAGCAUCUGCGAAGCUGGUAACUGAAGCCCUGGUGAACGGCGGCCGUAACAAUAACGGUCCUAAGGUAGCGAAGUUCCUUGUCGGGUAAGUUCCGACCCGCACGAAAGGCGUAAUGAUUUGGAUACUGUCUCGGAGAGGGGCUCGGUGAAAUAGACUUGUCUGUGAAGAUGCGGACUACCUGCACCUGGACAGAAAGACCCUAUGAAGCUUUACUGUAACUUGAAAUUGAAAUUGGACUUUAUUCGCGCAGUAUAGGUGGGUGGCGUUGAAAAUACUCUUGCGGGAGUAUUGGAGCUAUCAGUGAGAUACCACUCUUAUAAUGUUAGAUUUCUAACUUUGAACCAUUAUCUGGUCAAAGAACAGUUUCAGGCGGGCAGUUUGACUGGGGCGGUCGCCUCCCAAACGGUAACGGAGGCGUACAAUGUUUCCUCUGAACGGAUAGAAAUCGUAUCUAGAGUAUAAAGGCAUAAGGAAGCUUGACUGUGAGACCUACAAGUCGAGCAGGGACGAAAGUCGGUCUUAGUGAUCUGACGGUACUGAGUGGAAAGGCCGUCACUCAACGGAUAAAAGUUACUCUAAGGAUAACAGGCUGAUCUCCCCCAAGAGUUCACAUCGACGGGGAGGUCUGGCACCUCGAUGUCGGCUCAUCGCAUCCUGGGGCGGUAGUACGUCCCAAGGGUUGGGCUGUUCGCCCAUGAAAGCGGUACGCGAGCUGGGUUCAGAACGUCGUGAGACAGUUCGGUCCAUAUCCGGUGUAGGCGUUAGAAUAUUGAGAGGAGCCUUCUCUAGUACGAGGGGACCGAGAAGGACAUACCUCUGGUGUACCAGUUAUCGUGCCAACGGUAAACGCUGGGUAGCUAUGUAUGGAGUGGAUAACCGCUGAAAGCAUCUAAGUGGGAAGCCCACCUCAAGAUAAGUAUUCUCAU